GGGGAUGUGGUUCAGUGGUUAGAGUGCUUGCCUGCUAUGCAUGAAGCCCUGGCUUCUGUCUCCAGUACCACCU
RNAcentral lists this transfer RNA (73 nucleotides) under Rattus norvegicus (Norway rat). It matches the Rfam family "tRNA". From Rfam's summary of the family: Transfer RNA (tRNA) molecules are approximately 80 nucleotides in length. Their secondary structure includes four short double-helical elements and three loops (D, anti-codon, and T loops). The record is from Rfam by way of RNAcentral. Lineage: Eukaryota; Metazoa; Chordata; Mammalia; Rodentia; Muridae.